GGUUCGAUCCUGGCUCAGAUUGAACGCUGGCGGGAUGCUUUACACAUGCAAGUCGAACGGCAGCACGGACUUCGGUCUGGUGGCGAGUGGCGAACGGGUGAGUAAUGUAUCGGAACGUACCUGAGUAGCCGGGGAUAACUACGCGAAAGCGUAGCUACCCAUGCCACAUACGCCCUUCGGGGAAAGCGGGGACCUUCGGGCCUCGCACUAUUAGAGCGGCCGAUAUCGGAUUAGCUAGUUGGUGGGGUAACGGCUCACCAAGGCGACGAUCCGUAGCUGGUUUGAGAGGACGACCAACCACACUGGGACUGAGACACGGCCCAGACUCCUACAGGGAGGCAGCAGUGGGAAUUUUGGACAAUGGGAAACCCUGAUCCAGCCAUCGCGUGUGCGAUGAUGAGCCCCCUUCGGGUUGUAAAGCACUUUUGGCAGGAAAGAAACGGCACGGGAUAAUACCCGUGCAACUGACAGUACCACAGAAUAAGCACCGGCUAACUACGUGCCAGCAGCCGCGGUAAUACGUAGGGUGCAAGCGUUAAUCGGAAUUCACGGGCGUAAAGCGUGCGCGGGCGGUUCGGAAGAAAGAUGUAAUCCCAGAGCUUAACUUUGGAACUGCAUUUUUAACUACCGAGCUAGAGUGUGUCAGAGGGAGGUGGAAUUCCGCGUGUAGCAGUGAAAUGCGUAGAUAUGCGGAGGAACACCGAUGGCGAAGGCGGCCUCCUGGGAUAACACUGACGCUCAUGCACGAAAGCGUGGGAGCAAACAGGAUUAGAUACCCUGGUAGUCCACGCCCUAAACGAUGUCAACUAGCUGUUGGGGCCUUCGGGCCGCUUGGUAGCGCAGCUAACGCGUGAAGUUGGCCGCCUGGGGAAAUGCGAUCGCAAGAUUAAAACUCAAAGGAAUUGACGGGGACCCGCACAAGCGGUGGAUGAUGUGGAUUAAUUCGAUGCAACGCGAAAAGCCUUACCUACCCUUGACAUGUCUGGAAUCCCGAAGAGAUUUGGGAGUGCUCGCAAGAGAACCGGAACACAGGUGCUGCAUGGCUGUCGUCAGCUCGUGUCGUGAGAUGUUGGGUUAAGUCCCGCAACGAGCGCAACCCUUGUGUUAGUUGCUACGAGGCACUCUAAUGAGACUGCCGGUGACAAACCGGAGGAAGGUGGGGAUGACGUCAAGUCCUCAUGGCCCUUAUGGUGGGGCUUCACACGUCAUACAAUGGUCGGGACAGAGGGUCGCCAACCCGCGAGGGCCAACCCCAGAAACCCGAUCGUAGUCGGAUCGCAGUCUGCAACUCGACUGCGUGAAGUCGGAAUCGCUAGUAAUCGCGGAUCAGCAUGUCGCGGUGAAUACGUUCCCGGGUCUUGUACACACCGCCCGUCACACCAUGAGGUGGGUUUUACCAAAGUAGUUAGCCUAACCGUAAGGAGGGCGAUUACCACGGUAGGAUUCAUGACUGGGGUGAAGUCGUAACAAGGUAG
This 1475-nucleotide ribosomal RNA is filed under the name uncultured Bordetella sp. Its description in RNAcentral is "partial 16S-23S ribosomal RNA intergenic spacer". It matches the Rfam family "Bacterial small subunit ribosomal RNA". The record is from RNAcentral. Lineage: Bacteria; Pseudomonadati; Pseudomonadota; Betaproteobacteria; Burkholderiales; Alcaligenaceae.